GCCGCCAUGUUCCCCUGGAGGGACGCCUCUCUUGCUCUCUGCUGCUCUCCAGUCUGUUGAGGUAGAGGUCUUUUCUCAUGAACCUCGGGAACAGCAGCUUUAACCCUGCGCACCUGAGCCACCAUAAGCAAGAUGGAAUCUUUCCCCGGUUCUAAGAAAUGGGAAGAGAGGUCGCCUGAAGAGACCUUUUUCCCAAGCAAGAGCAGAAAGCAGGUGCAAGCUGGAAGAACAGGGGAUCCCUCAAGUUAGACUGAAAGUAAAUAUGCCUUUGACAUCUCAGGGCUUCUGCUGCUGGUUUCACAUGAACCCAUGGGAUGGCAGUGUUUGCAGUGCUGCCCAGCUGGAUGAGGUCUCCUCAGUGCGUGCAGGCAGCUGAAAUUCUUGAUUACUUGUUUUCUUCAUGAACCAUUUUCUUCUAAAACUACUGGUAGCAGAGCUAACCAAGACUCCUGAGAACAGCAUUCUUUUUUCAUCAGAAUGGCCUGAAUCAUUAAAUAUAAGCAAGAAAAUGAAUUCAUUUCUGUAAAAACGUCCUUAGUCCCAGAAUGUGUAUGCAUGAAAGGAAGAGGUCUGCCAGACAGGACUGAGAUGCUUAUGCUGAAGGCUGUAACCACACCGAUGAGAGAAGAGUGGUUGAGAUGAUCUGUAGAUGUCAGAGCUGCUUCUUGCUGCAUUGUGAACAAGAUAUCCUGAGCAAAAGGAUUUAUUUUAAAACCUGUCAGAAACAACCUAGGCAAAGCAAAUAGAGAUGUAAGGGGUAGGUACUGCAUAGAUGACUGUUGCAAAGUUGAUUUCAUGCUUUAAGUGUCCGUGUCACUGAAGAGAAUACAGGUGAGCGCAGGUGUUUCCACUGCUGUUCUGUAGCAGGCUGAAAAUGCACAGCGGACCAUUGUCAAGCUGAAUAAUUCUAUGCAGCAGUUUGUGACCCUGCCACCUUUUGUAUGGCUUGAUCUCGUCAGCCGCAGACCUUUGGGCAGUCAUGAUGAUUGGAUUGGUUGAUACACAACUGAAAGAGACUGCGGAGAUAUUAAGUAGCUUCUGCCUGUUGCCAUGGGCCUGACGGUUAGGAAGUGCUACUGAGUCUUUGUAUUCUAACAGUGGGUGAUGUAGUACCUGCCAGUGACUUAGGAGUCUAACCCAAAGCUUCAUGUUUGAACUACACGAAAGAUACCUUCAAAGGAGAUGUCUGAGACCAAUUUAAAAUAGCAAAUGGUGUCCAACCUGUUUCUGUAGUAUUUUACUGCUUCAGAACUCACUCUGGGAAAGAUGCAAUUUGAGUCCCAAUUAAAAAAAUUCCUUUGGAUUUCAACUUGCCAAGCUGAGCUGGUGUGCAGGACAUGAGAGGGGGAAAAAAUGAUGGGAAGCAGAAGUCGGGAAGUAGAUGAUGUGGCAUGCUGCCUCGGCGUGAUAGAAACAACAUCUGUGUUUCAGUCAUUGCUUGGGUAGUGCUGUUUGGGAAUGUGUCUAGUGGAGGAGCACAAGAAAAGCACUACCUACCUCUGAUUCAAAGGAAAAAUAAAAGACUUCUUAGUAACUGCUUAUAAGUAAUGAGAAAUAAAUACUGAUUACACUAACAUUUAUUAUUAUAGGCUCUUAAGUGUUGCCGUAUUGUUUGGAAUUAAUAUGUCUAGCAUGUACGGUUGUAUUAUAAGUAGGUAUGAAUGAGUAUAUGCUGUAAAAGUGUCCUAAGUAGAUCUCUCUUUACAUCCUCCCCUGUCUCCUCCACUUCUAUAACACCCUCAUUUCCAGCGAGCAGAAGAGAUCUCCUUGGCACAGCUUAGGGGAAAGCUAACCUAAAGCUGUGCACUUUCUCCUACUGGGCACUGCUCAGCAGGGGAGGCUGUUCUUUGCUUCAGCCAGUAGUAAGGAGGGUGGCAGGAGGUCUCUUACAGCAGAGGAUGUGAAGCAUGCAUUUGCAUAGGCUGCUUUUCCUUGCCUCCCCUCUGCUCUCCAGCAAGCACGGGUUUAUUUUAGCGUUGGCCUUCUGAAACAGGAUUGUUUUUCCCCUGAAUAGGUCAGGCUGGGAUAAUGCCAGGAUACAUGGCCUUCCAUAGCUGGGGUGACUCGGGAAGCCGGAGAUACCUACUAAGUAGACAGUGCCUCUAACUGCUGGGCCUGUGCCCAGUGUCAGAGGAGUAUCCUAAAAUAACCUUUGUGAUAAACGGCAGGGAGAGCCUUGGGCAAAUUGACUUUUUCUGAGGCGGGUGUCAGGCUGAAACAGGUUACAGUGCUGCCCUCUGUUGUUGGAAUUCAAAAAAACUCACACAAGGCCAUGCUGAAAUUCAGCCGAACCUUCAUAAAAGGUCUCUAGAAAAGCCCCAGGUGAAUACAUAAAGUAUUUAAUCCACUUGUUUCAUAUGGUGGUUCAGCCCAUCGGUAUGUGCCUGCAUCUCUUUGCUAGCAGUUCAGUUUGUAGAAACAGAAUACGGCUAAUAAUGCUAUUCCUUUUUUUAGCAGAUAGAGUCUUCAUGGCUGAUCUUGAGUCCCAGAAAUCAUACAUCGUGGGAUGCUUAUUUGUAUUUUAGUGCACGGGGGAAGUAUAGAGGAAGAAUUUUUUAUUGAGCUUUUUUCCCGUAGCUGAUCUAUGAACCAGUAUGGAAGCAAGAUGAAAGUAGUCUGAUAUUUCCAUCUGAACUGGAAGGAAAUCCCAUCAAGAAGCAUUUUCUAGUCCUAAUGUAAUGCAGCCUUGCCAGACCUGGCACUUAGGUGGCUCCAAAUCCUUGCACAAAUGCAGAUUUCACAGGGAUGGGAGAAUCAGUACAUCAUCUGCUGUGACUGCAGUCGAAGCCAACUUGGCAAAGUUGUUUCAGUCUGAUUUCAUUCCACUCGGCCACACUCUGAUCAUCAUCCAUUAGUGUGCACUGAGAGCACAUGGGAACAGACAAACCUUGCAGGAACAAACAACAAGCAUAGCGGUCAGUGGAGAAAUCCUCAGUCCCUGUGCACAUGAAGCUGAUGGAUCACUGACUUGAAGAGCCAGGUGGUAAUACCCCUUGAGGAAGACACUCCCUGGCAACUUGGAAACCUUGACAUCUGGCUAACCUUCAGCUGGUGGGUGUCUGGCAUUCUCCAUUCACUGCCUAAUUCUGCCCCUGAGACCAAGAAACACCGGACACCAUGGAUCACAGAGCCACUGGACCCCAUGAUGGUGCCUGUUCCCUUUGCAAAAUUCUGUGACUGCCUUGAAGCUGUGAUUUGGCACCACAAGCAAAAAAUCUGUGUGGAUAUGAUGCUAUAUAUUUAUCAAUGACAACUGUGAUCUGGAGACUAAGGGCUUUCACAAUGCAACAGUCUUUAUUCUGGAGGAGUUCAAGUCACAGAGAACUGGUUCAUAAGCAAAUGUUUAGCUUGAAAUAUGUCAGUGAAGCAUCCUAAAUUGUGAGAGAUCUCCAAUGUGUUGUUUAUAUAAAGUGAUAUUUUUGUAAACUCCAUUAAGUCUUAUGCUGUUUUUGUGCAGUGCAAUCAGACUAUUCUUUGGGGUGGAGCUGUGUACUGAGAGGGGGAAGGGAGACAAUUUUCCCUUUACCAUGUAGGGUAGGCAGGAUAUUUGAAAUAGAGCUGGGCCUUUUUGCCAAGUGAUGGUAUGUCUGGUUUAAUGUAGGUCAAUCCUUUUACUAACUUAGGGCUCAUUUGCUUUCAGUGAGUAUGAAAUUGUGCUUUCUUAGUAUUGUUUUGUCUUUUUUACAUUUGUCUGAGAAAAAGCAACAAGUUGAAGAGAAGGUGAUUAGUCAUCAGGAGUUUCAGAUGGCAAACGAGUGCAGGUGUGAGAUGCCUUUAUUUGAGGAUGCUGCAUAAACAUCAUUAAACAUAUGAUAAAAUGGAAAUAAGAGUUUCCCAGUCUGUAUGCGCAAAUGUUUGGCGUGGAGAUUACUGAUGAAGAGUUUGAGCUGCUACUUGACAGAAUCCCCCUUGAUGAAGAUGGAAAUGUCAGAUACCCCCAGUUCAUGGCCAGGUUUGAUUCCUGGUAUGCCGUGUAUGCAUUUUAUUUCUCGUUUGGCCGUCAAAUAGGACACAGGAUUCAUGAGAUGCAUAUGUCCUUCUGGAAUGAUAUCCUCUAGAGGGCCGUGUGGAAUCGUCCUAAUCCGGGAAGAGCCACUGCCUCCCUGUGUGAUCUGACACAGUGACAUAUCACUUGACCUCGGUCGCGGCAGCUGUACAGCGAGGUGGAAAAGGCGGCUGACGGACAAGCAGGGGAUGCCUUUCAGCACAGCUUCCUCGGGGUAAACCACCGGCAAACUCACGGCUUGGCUUCUUUCUCACUCACCCACGAGUUUCAGAUCAAAUUCAGAUACAGUUGAGAAGAAUGUAUGCUAUAUGGAAGAACACGCAGAAGUUGUGAGCAACCACACGGUCUGAAUGUUAAGGGUUCAUCCAUCUUCCUGCACAAGAAUGCCUUUAUCUGGAAAAGACAAACAUCCCAGGAGUCUGUAAGAAGUAAGAAGUAAGCUGUUGCAGCUUGAAUUUGUGAGAGGACUUCUGUGGAGCCUGAACCACCUCCCUCCAUCUCAAAGGAGACCGAGCCUUCCCUCUUUCUUAAAGCAAGGCACCCUGGCAGCCUGCAUAGUAAGAUUGUAGCUCAGCAAGCUCCUGCUUGCAGCAUGUCCCAGCAGGCUGCAGAAGGGGAACGUGGAAAGGCAGACCCACUCCAAGGCUUUUGACUUGCCACACCUUUCCGAGAGGAUGACAUCUCAGAGGCUCUGUGUCUGUCCCAGAUUGUGACUGUUUUCUUCUGAAGAGCAAACGGAUGGAAAGUGCCUGCCAUUUCUCCGGACAAAAGCCUGGAAGGUUUUCAGUUAUUAGCCUUCUGAAGCAGCCCUUUCGCUCACCCAAGCGCAAAAAAAACUCAUUAGGGGGCACCUUUCUUUCUGCCUUCUUCAUCUGAUGCGUGUGGGGUUUACGUGUUUCAAGACUUUCAGGUCUCGGAUGGAUUUGGGCAGCCUCCCUUUUAACCCUGCCGGACUGUGGUUACGCCCUGGGCAGAGAUUGGCUGUAUCUGUGUGCACUGAACCACCUGGAGAUGCUUCGUCCUUUCAGCAGCUGUUUUACACCCCGCUGGUCUGCUGUUCUGUUGAGCGCUUCUGCCCGACGUACAGCACUGCCAUACCUGUGCCUGCCUCUUAGGAAAAAGAGCAACCCAAAAGUAUACUGACAGUUACAGUGACGGGAAGACUCUCUGAAGAGCCCUUAAGAAGCCACAUGUUGGCAGCUGAAUUUCAAUCCAUCCCAAAUCUCCACAGCUUCCUGCUAGAAGAGGAUGAAAUUGACCACAUGCUCUCAAAAUUCAUCUCAGUCUGAAAAGGCAGGUUAACUGCAAAUCCAUUUGGGGAAAAAAUUAUAACAACAACAACAACAACAAAAUUAAAAACUGCUACAAAUUAAUGUAGAAUAUUCCUUUGAGAAGGAUAACAGCCUUUAUGUCCCCCCAGUUGCCUAUCCUUCUAACUACGUCACAUGUAUAUUUCUCCUAUUUAUGUCCCUGGUCUAUUGACUGUGGGUCUGUACUGUACGUUGUUUUGUGGAGAGGUGGUAGAAGCCCUUUCUGAGAGCUUAAAGCAAAGCUGAAAAUAAGGCAGUUACAAACUAUGCGUAACGUAUGUUAUGUGACUGAGAAAACGAGCUGUCUGAAAAGGGGAGGCUAAGGUGCUCUAUGGAGAUUUGAGAAGGUGAAAUAUUCAAGCUGCUUUGCUGCCGGGUGCCUCCUCACAACAGAGCAGUGUUCCUUUGGCCUCACAGAAUUAGUUUAAGUCCUGCACGUGCAUGUGGGAGGGUAGAUUACUGUGCCUAGUUGUGUCAUCUUUUCUUCUUGGAGGAACAGUUCAUGCCUUCAGUACAGCAGGCAGUAGGACCUGCUCUGCAGUUGUUCUGCACCUGACUUCACUUUCACCAUCAGUGUAACUCAGUGUUUAGGACCAAGGUAGGUUACUUAUUUUCCUUACAUCUUUGCAAACACAGGGCUGUGUGUCUCAGUUAGUAAACUGAGCACCAAGAGCCAGUGAAAUAUGGAUCACUUACCUGUUUGGUAAGGUCUCUGCUGAUGCAGCUACAUCAUGCCUCCUCCUCGUGUAGCAGCUCUAGCUUCAGGGGUUUCCAGAAAGCUUUGUCUACUUGCAAGAGCUAAGGAUUUGGUCCAGAAUAUACACAAGUAGGUAAAUAGCAUGUUUGUUUGGUUGCUUUAAUAUACUGACUUUCCUGCAGGCAGUAAUUUGUAACCGACUAUAAGCAUUGGUACCCUUAGGCAACAUUUAAUUGGUUGUCAUGCAUCUUAGCCAUCUAACAGGUUUUUUUGGCUUUCCACAACGAAAAAUACACUUCUGGUCUUGUUCUUUUUCCAAAUACUUUCCCUCCUCCAGACAUCAAAGGGAAUUUACAGAACUUUCAGUAAUAAAACUCCAAUAAAAGGUUGCUUUUUUCCUCUCUCUUUGGUUAAAGAAAUGAGAAGGUAACAUAUGAAUAAAGUAUGUGAUGUAAGAAAAUUGUUAUUACAUUCUUCUAUCAAAAGAGGUUUUACUGUGGAACGUGUGGGACUGUGAGAUCCUUGGAACUUUCCAAUAUACAUUUGUGUUGUAUGUAAUGUAUGUUUUUUCAGGUUCUCCAAAGGCUUGUGAAAAUGUGUGAUCUGUGCUUGAUGAAUCUCAUUGAUCCCUGUUAGAUUUUCUCUUUCUGAAAGUGAAGUCGUGUGAGGUUUGUUCUGUAGGUUUUACUGUUCCUUCUACAGACCCCAGUCCUGAAAGCCCAGCAGUGGAUUUGGUAGUAAGGGCAAAUUGUUUCCGUCCUAUAUCCUUUGGCAGCAAAAUUCUGCACCCUAAUGUUCACUCGCAGCUAUCGUGGCAUCACUGUUGUAAGUCAGUAAGGUUAUACAGGUGGACAUUUUAGUCUGGGGGGAAAAAUUAACAAAAAGAUCAA
RNAcentral lists this long non-coding RNA (6903 nucleotides) under Gallus gallus (chicken). RNAcentral's name for it is "lncRNA (ENSGALG00010009036.1)". The record is from RNAcentral. Lineage: Eukaryota; Metazoa; Chordata; Aves; Galliformes; Phasianidae.